UACGGGGGGGGCAAGCGUUGUUCGGAAUUACUGGGCGUAAAGGGCUCGUAGGCGGCCAACUAAGUCAGACGUGAAAUCCCUCAGCUUAACUGGGGAACUGCGUCUGAUACUGGCGAGCUUGAGUGCAGGAGAGGAACGCGGAAUUCCAGGUGUAGCGGUGAAAUGCGUAGAUAUCUGGAGGAACACCGGUGGCGAAGGCGGCGUUCUGGACUGCAACUGACACUGAAAAACGAAAGCCAGGGGAGCAAACGGG
This 253-nucleotide ribosomal RNA is filed under the name uncultured bacterium. RNAcentral describes it as "partial 16S ribosomal RNA". It matches the Rfam family "Bacterial small subunit ribosomal RNA", at positions 524 to 776 of the family's 1533-position model. The record is from RNAcentral.